UACGAGGGGUGCAAGCGUUGCUCGGAAUUAUUGGGCGUAAAGGGUAGGUAGGUGGUCUCAUUUGUCUGGGGUGAAAGCCUUGGGCUUAACUCAAGAAGUGCCCCAGAAACGGUGAGACUGGAGUCCUGGAGAGGGUCGUGGAAUUCCCGGUGUAGCGGUGAAAUGCGUAGAGAUCGGGAGGAACACCUGUGGCGAAGGCGGCUUCCUGGACCGACACUGACGCUGAGGCGCGAAAGCCAGGGGAGCAAACGGG
RNAcentral lists this ribosomal RNA (253 nucleotides) under uncultured bacterium. RNAcentral's name for it is "partial 16S ribosomal RNA". It matches the Rfam family "Bacterial small subunit ribosomal RNA", at positions 524 to 776 of the family's 1533-position model. The record is from RNAcentral.